UACAGAGGCCUCGAGCGUUAGGCGGAAUCACUGGGCUUAAAGCGUGUGUAGGCGGACUUCUAAGUACCUUGUGAAAUCCCACGGCUCAACCGUGGAACUGCUCGGUAUACUGGUUGUCUUGAGCCAUCUAGGGGCGAGCGGAACAAGUGGUGGAGCGGUGAAAUGCGUAGAUAUCACUUGGAACGCCAACGGUGAAAACAGCUCGCUGGGGAUGUGCUGACGCUGAGACACGAAAGCGUGGGUAGCAAACAGG
RNAcentral lists this ribosomal RNA (253 nucleotides) under uncultured bacterium. RNAcentral's name for it is "partial 16S ribosomal RNA". It matches the Rfam family "Bacterial small subunit ribosomal RNA", at positions 524 to 776 of the family's 1533-position model. The record is from RNAcentral.